RNAcentral lists this ribosomal RNA (655 nucleotides) under uncultured Bacteroides sp. RNAcentral's name for it is "bacterial SSU rRNA". It matches the Rfam family "Bacterial small subunit ribosomal RNA", at positions 68 to 715 of the family's 1533-position model. Lineage: Bacteria; Pseudomonadati; Bacteroidota; Bacteroidia; Bacteroidales; Bacteroidaceae. The record is from RNAcentral.
AGCAUGGUCUUAGCUUGCUAAGGCCGAUGGCGACCGGCGCACGGGUGAGUAACACGUAUCCCAUCUGCCGUCUACUCUUGGACAGCCUUCUGAAAGGAAGAUUAAUACAAGAUGGCAUCAUGAGUCCGCAUGUUCACAUGAUUAAAGGUAUUCCGGUAGACGAUGGGGAUGCGUUCCAUUAGAUAGUAGGCGGGGUAACGGCCCACCUAGUCUUCGAUGGAUAGGGGUUCUGAGAGGAAGGUCCCCCACAUUGGAACUGAGACACGGUCCAAACUCCUACGGGAGGCAGCAGUGAGGAAUAUUGGUCAAUGGGCGAGAGCCUGAACCAGUCAAGUAGCGUGAAGGAUGACUGCCCUAUGGGUUGUAAACUUCUUUUAUAAAGGAAUAAAGUCGGGUAUGCAUACCCGUUUGCAUGUACUUUAUGAAUAAGGAUCGGCUAACUCCGUGCCAGCAGCCGCGGUAAUACGGAGGAUCCGAGCGUUAUCCGGAUUUAUUGGGUUUAAAGGGAGCGUAGAUGGAUGUUUAAGUCAGUUGUGAAAGUUUGCGGCUCAACCGUAAAAUUGCAGUUGAUACUGGAUAUCUUGAGUGCAGUUGAGGCAGGCGGAAUUCGUGGUGUAGCGGUGAAAUGCUUAGAUAUCACGAAGAACUCCGAUUG